This 433-nucleotide ribosomal RNA is filed under the name uncultured bacterium. Its description in RNAcentral is "partial 16S ribosomal RNA". It matches the Rfam family "Bacterial small subunit ribosomal RNA", at positions 28 to 507 of the family's 1533-position model. The record is from RNAcentral.
GACGAACGCUGGCGGCAGGCCUAACACAUGCAAGUCGAGCGAGGACUUCGGUUCUAGCGGCGGACGGGUGAGUAACGCGUGGGAAUGUGCCCUUCUCUACGGAAUAGCCCUGGGAAACUGGGAGUAAUACCGUAUACGCCCUAUUGGGGAAAGAUUUAUCGGAGAAGGAUCAGCCCGCGUUGGAUUAGGUAGUUGGUGGGGUAAUGCCCUACAAGGCCGACGAUCCAUAGCUGGUUGGGGAGGAGCAGCAGCCACACUGGUACUGAGACACGGCCCAGACUCCUACGGGAGGCAGCAGUGGAGAAUCUUAGACAAUGGGGGCAACCCUGAACGAGCCACGCCGCGUGAGAGAUGAAGGCCUUGUUGUUGUAAAGCUCUUUCAGCUGGGAAGAUAAUGACGGUACCUACAGAAGAAGCCCCGGCUAACUCCGUG